CCAUUGGUCCUCUCGCAUUGAUAACUCGUCAACCUGGUCAGGACCGGAAGGUAGCAGCCAAGGCGGGGGACUCGAGUGCCGGGAUGUGGCUGAUGGGGCC
Molecule: signal recognition particle RNA, 100 nt
Filed under: Aeromonas salmonicida subsp. salmonicida A449
Lineage: Bacteria; Pseudomonadati; Pseudomonadota; Gammaproteobacteria; Aeromonadales; Aeromonadaceae
Description: signal recognition particle RNA component
Rfam family: Bacterial small signal recognition particle RNA
About the family: The signal recognition particle (SRP) is a universally conserved ribonucleoprotein involved in the co-translational targeting of proteins to membranes.
Source: RNAcentral